GGUGGAACCGGGGCGUUUAGGCCCGCUGGUGAGCAGGUCCCUUCGUUGUCUAUGAACAGCCUUAUUUUAGAACUUCCUUGUUUGGGACAGGAAUUUUGGCGGGGGUUUCGGGGUGAGAUCCUGGUCAAAACGUAGGGGGAUUUUGUUUCCUGGCCUUUGGUUCCCCCCCUUUUCAAGGUUUCCCCUUUUCUUAGUGUCCCUUGCUUGAUCUUUGCUUCAGCGGUCCGCGCCCGAAGCAGAAGAAGAGGAAAAACUUGUCUCCUUCCCUACCCUUUAACCCGAAACAGGAAGAGUCCAAAGCGACCAAGAGACGAAAUGUCACCGCCACGCACGGGAGUUCAUGCACAAAUAUUUUCCAGAAGGGGAGAAUUAAACUUUUGGCGUGUCCAUGUGGUAUAUUUCCCGCGUAGCUCGUCCCCCAUUUCUGACUCCUUGACUCCGCU
RNAcentral lists this small RNA (443 nucleotides) under Histoplasma ohiense. Its description in RNAcentral is "hypothetical lncRNA". Lineage: Eukaryota; Fungi; Ascomycota; Eurotiomycetes; Onygenales; Ajellomycetaceae. The record is from RNAcentral.